Molecule: long non-coding RNA, 627 nt
Filed under: Setaria viridis
Lineage: Eukaryota; Viridiplantae; Streptophyta; Magnoliopsida; Poales; Poaceae
Description: long non-coding RNA (SVIR_LNC001770)
Source: RNAcentral
AGAAGAAGGAAGGGAGAGAGAGGAAAAGAGGAAAAAAAAGGAGAAGGAGAAAGGAAAGGAGAAAGAAGGAAGAGAGGGAAAAAGGGGAGAAGGGAAAAGAGGGAGUUGGCGGAAAUUGCGGGAUUUGACGGCACGCGUGAUGGACUUGACGGGCACGCGGCGAAAAUUACGGGGACGGAAAAAGAGGGUCGACGACGUCGGGGCCGGAACGGCGGAUCCGACGGAAAGAAGGGGAUUUGACGGGGCUCAACAGUCGGAAAAUUUUGGAAAGCAUUUCAACGGGUGAUUUAAUUUGGUAGAUUUUUACGGGCGUUACAAACCUACCCCACUUAAAUUGAAUCUCGUCCUCGAGAUUCGGCUGAAUCCUAAAAAGAUGGGGAAACUCCUUCUUUAAUGCAUCCUCGCAUUCCCAAGUAGCUUCUUCUUCACCAUGUCUACUCCAUUGGACUCUACAAAUCCGCACUACUGAAUUCCUUGUCCUUCUGGUGACGGUGUCUAGAAUCUUGAUGGGUACCUCCUGAUAUCGCAGAUCCUUCUGUAAAUCUAUCGUUUCCACCGGUACUUGCUCUUCUGGCACUCUUAGGCAUUUUCUUAGCUGGGACACAUGAAAUACCGGGUGGAUGUCCG